This 249-nucleotide unclassified non-coding RNA is filed under the name Dacryobolus sudans. Its description in RNAcentral is "partial internal transcribed spacer region". The stretch from base 1 to 46 matches the Rfam family "Eukaryotic small subunit ribosomal RNA", at positions 1786 to 1831 of the family's 1831-position model. Lineage: Eukaryota; Fungi; Basidiomycota; Agaricomycetes; Polyporales; Dacryobolaceae. The record is from RNAcentral.
AAGUCGUAACAAGGUUUCCGUAGGUGAACCUGCGGAAGGAUCAUUAAUGAAUUUUUGAAGGGGUUGUAGCUGGCUCGCAAGGGCAUGUGCACACCCCGUUCAAUCCAUCUCACCCCUGUGCACCACAAUGUAGGGAUGGCGGACCGUGAGGUCUUCCGUCUCUAUGUCAUUUACAAACUCGAUAGUAUCAGAAUGUAAACGCGUGUAACGCAUCUUAUACAACUUUCAGCAACGGAUCUCUUGGCUCUC